This 487-nucleotide long non-coding RNA is filed under the name Rattus norvegicus (Norway rat). Its description in RNAcentral is "long non-coding RNA NONRATT030046". The record is from RNAcentral. Lineage: Eukaryota; Metazoa; Chordata; Mammalia; Rodentia; Muridae.
UGGACCACUGCCAAAGCACAUGAUUGAGAAAACCAGGUAUGUUUUACUUGUCAUGUCGUCUGUAGUAGUGAAUACCACUGGAUUCGAUUAGUAACUCAUGCACAGAUACUUUGCUGUGUCGAGCUGGGGAGGGCAGGAUGGUAAUUGAACAUUUAACUGUUCUAGGAAACGCACAUACUUCCAUCACGAUCGAUUGGAUUGGGAUGAGCACAGUUCUGCUGGCAGAUAUGUUUCUCGGCGCUGUAAGCCUCUGAAGGAGUUUAUGCUGUCUCAGGAUGCCGAGCAUGAGCUUCUCUUUGACCUCAUUGGGAAAAUGUUGGAGUAUGAUCCAGCCAAAAGAAUCACUCUCAAAGAAGCCCUAAAGCAUCCUUUCUUUUACCCGCUUAAAAAGCAUACAUGAUUUAUAAAUAUGGUGCUCUGAAAGAAAUUUUACAGACUGUAUCAGUCUAGAUUUUAAUUUAUUUGUAUAGCUUUGUACACUGAUGUU